GACGAACGCUGGCGGCGUGCUUAACACAUGCAAGUCGAACGCUGAAGCUCAGCUUGCUGGGUGGAUGAGUGGCGAACGGGUGAGUAACACGUGAGUAACCUGCCCUCUUCUUUGGGAUAACGCCCGGAAACGGGUGCUAAUACUGGAUAUUCACUGAUUCUCGCAUGGGGGUUGGUGGAAAGGUUUUUUCUGGUGGGGGAUGGGCUCGCAGCCUAUCAGCUUGUUGGUGGGGUGAUGGCCUACCAAGGCUUUGACGGGUAGCCGGCCUGAGAGGGUGACCGGUCACAUUGGGACUGAGAUACGGCCCAGACUCCUACGGGAGGCAGCAGUGGGGAAUAUUGCACAAUGGGCGAAAGCCGGAUGCAGCGACGCCGCGUGAGGGAUGGAGGCCUUCGGGUUGUAAACCUCUUUCGCUCAUGGUCAAGCCGCAGCUUUGGGUUGUGGUGAGGGUAGUGGGUAAAGAAGCGCCGGCUAACUACGUG
This 482-nucleotide ribosomal RNA is filed under the name uncultured bacterium. RNAcentral's name for it is "partial 16S ribosomal RNA". It matches the Rfam family "Bacterial small subunit ribosomal RNA", at positions 28 to 507 of the family's 1533-position model. The record is from RNAcentral.